Molecule: long non-coding RNA, 1314 nt
Organism: Nerophis lumbriciformis (worm pipefish)
Lineage: Eukaryota; Metazoa; Chordata; Actinopteri; Syngnathiformes; Syngnathidae
Source: RefSeq, a predicted model, not a curated record
UUAAAAAUCAAUGUCAUAUGCAGUUGUAAUUUCAAGUGAAACUGUAUAAUGCAAAUUAUACAUGUGCCAGUACAUAGGUGUUACAGUUUCAAAUGAAGUCAAUUGCCAAUUUACUGCACUCACUCUAUUGUGGCAAUUUCCCUUUGCCUACAAAAAAAUGCAAAAUACAUAAUUUCCUUUCAUUGAUUAUAAUAAAGGAUACAGGCAAUACAAUAAACAAUGUUCAGCUGUAAAAAAAAACACAUAUAUUUAUUCCAAGUCUUCUAUUGUAGUUUUGGCAGUGGCAUUGAACUAAUUUGCUCCAUGGAGUUUUGAGUUAUGUGUUUCUAAUAUUUGCAAAAUAACCAACAUUUUGGAAAUGGUUGUCCCUAUAAUAAAGUAAAGUUAACGUACAUGUUGGAUAUUAAAACAAGCAUUAUUAUAUGUGUAAAGCCAGACUGACAUCAGAUUAUGCCUGUGUACCUAAUGUUGUGGAUUGUCAGGGUUGCUUCCGGGUGACACUUACUUGUAGCAGUUGUUGCUGUAAGGGUUAUAGCUGCCCAGUACAGUGAGCGUGCCCACACCAAGGCUGUAUGAGAAGAAGAUCUGGGCGCCAGCUUCCAUCCACACCUGUCAAAACCCCACUUACUGACAAAUUAGUGUGUUUUGCUCUUUGCAGUGUUUUCUUACCAUUGCGUAACAGCACAUACCUGAGGGUCUGUAAGUCGGGACAGUUCAGGAAGAAGGUAGAACACCACUCCUUGUCUGGCCCCAGGAAGAGUGAGUCCACGGAUCAAAAGGAUGAGCAGCAUGACGUAGGGGAAGGUGGCGGUGAAAUACACCACCUGGAAAGGAAAAUCAAAGUUAAAUGCAUUUAAAUGAGAUAUGACACACCGGCUGCCAUUUUUCAAAUCUUUACCUUUCCGGUAGAUUUAACCCCUUUCCAGAUGCAGAAGUAACAUAUGAUCCACAUGGCGAUGAGGCACAGCAGCACCUCCCACCUAAUGCUGCCGAUCUCCUCAAUGCCCUCUGAGAUGUUCAACACCCUACGUCUAUAAAUAUAUAAUUCUGUUGCUGCUGAAGUUCCAUUGGUGUGGUUGCUGCCCUCCAGUGUGUGAUUUCUUGUUGUAAAGUCUACACAAUCCACUGACGGGGCUGACUCUAAGCUGGUUUGCCCUCACCUGUGUUCCAGUAGUUGUCACAAGUGUUCCAGGGCAGCUGAGCGCUAAAGGAGAACAGCAGGUAGAAGAGAGCCCAGGACAGAAUAAUGAUGUAAGUCAUGCAGCUGUAGAGCCUGAUCAGCUGCCCUCCAUAGCCAAUACCUGUCACACACAC